This 230-nucleotide ribosomal RNA is filed under the name uncultured bacterium. RNAcentral's name for it is "partial 16S ribosomal RNA". It matches the Rfam family "Bacterial small subunit ribosomal RNA", at positions 562 to 791 of the family's 1533-position model. The record is from RNAcentral.
AAAGCGUGCGCAGGCGGUUUUGUAAGACUGUCGUGAAAUCCCCGGGCUUAACCUGGGAAUGGCGAUGGUGACUGCAAGGCUAGAGUUUGGCAGAGGGGGGUAGAAUUCCACGUGUAGCAGUGAAAUGCGUAGAUAUGUGGAGGAACACCGAUGGCGAAGGCAGCCCCCUGGGUCAAAACUGACGCUCAUGCACGAAAGCGUGGGGAGCAAACAGGAAUAGAUACCCCAGU